RNAcentral lists this long non-coding RNA (795 nucleotides) under Marmota monax (woodchuck). The record is from RNAcentral. Lineage: Eukaryota; Metazoa; Chordata; Mammalia; Rodentia; Sciuridae.
GCCAGAUAUACAUGGGAGGGAGAUGGGUGCAGGGCACGUGGACCAGAAAUACUUCCUAGAAACAGCAAGUAGCUGCUCAACCCUGCCUGAACUUUUCUGUAAACACAGUGCACUGACAGACGGCAUCCCUGCUGGGUGGAUCCCGCACCUCCUAGAGGGAAUGGCACUUCUUGUUUUUAAUUAGCCAGGGGAAACGUGAAUUAAAACUAUCUGUUUGGCAAGUCGGUGCAAGAGACUGACUUCUGAGAGGCUUCAGGGAGACGGAGGGAAGAGCUCCGCGGGGGCAGGUAGCGCGUGUGCUGGGUUUGUUUUCUGAAUGAAACGCUGUCCGGUGACUGAAAAGAAUACAGCUUCUUCCUCUGUCCGCGGCGUAGUUACUGCAGACAGCUCCAGACAGGACAUGGCUCUGAAGACGCCCUCCGCGGAAUGCUCUCCUGCUCCAGGCUUUUAAACAACUGUCCUGGGGAGAGGAAGGUUUUACGUGUCCAAAUACAGCUUGACAAAUGGCACUUUGGAACUGUGCUUUCUGAUGACAACACGUUCGAUUUCUGACAAAGCCUCUCGCACGCUGCCCCUGGAGGGAAGUCCUAAGUAAAACUCAAACCCGCCUUAAAGUGAGGCUCUAGAGGACUUGCACCCUGAGACCGCAGCAUGGCAUCCGCCGGACGCGCUAUCACCUUGCUCCUGUGGGCUCACCUACUACUGGAGCUUUGGCCAGGAGGUCGCGCAGCGGAUACCCCCUACCCCCGGUUACGUCUAUCACAUAAAGGUAGGUUACCUUUUCAGAUCCUUUUG